GUUGAACGCUGGCGGAAUGCUUUACACAUGCAAGUCGAGCGGCAGCACGGGGGUAACCCUGGUGGCGAGCGGCGAACGGGUGAGUAAUACAUCGGAACAUGCCCAGUCGUGGGGGAUAACACUUCGAAAGAAGUGCUAAUACCGCAUACGUCCUGAGGGAGAAAGCGGGGGAUCGCAAGACCUCGCGCGAUUGGAGUGGCCGAUGUCAGAUUAGCUAGUUGGUGGGGUAAAGGCCUACCAAGGCAACGAUCUGUAGCUGGUCUGAGAGGAUGAUCAGCCACACUGGGACUGAGACACGGCCCAGACUCCUACGGGAGGCAGCAGUGGGGAAUUUUGGACAAUGGGGGCAACCCUGAUCCAGCCAUUCCGCGUGAGUGAAGAAGGCCUUCGGGUUGUAAAGCUCUUUCGGCAGGAACGAAACGGUGAGCUCUAACAUAGCUUGCUAAUGACGGUACCUGAAGAAGAAGCACCGGCUAACUACGUG
Molecule: ribosomal RNA, 484 nt
Filed under: uncultured bacterium
Lineage: Bacteria
Description: partial 16S ribosomal RNA
Rfam family: Bacterial small subunit ribosomal RNA
Source: RNAcentral